AGCCUGANCCCAGCUUCGCCGCGNUGGUGGAUGAAGCCCUUCGGGGUGUAAACACCUGUCAGGGGGGAAGAUAAUGACGGUACCCCCGGAGGAAGGGACGGCUAACUACGUGCCAGCAGCCGCGGUAAUACGUAGGUCCCGAACGUUGCGCGA
Molecule: ribosomal RNA, 153 nt
Filed under: uncultured Persephonella sp.
Lineage: Bacteria; Pseudomonadati; Aquificota; Aquificia; Aquificales; Hydrogenothermaceae
Description: partial 16S ribosomal RNA
Rfam family: Bacterial small subunit ribosomal RNA
Source: RNAcentral